AUUGAACGCUGGCGGCAUGCCUUACACAUGCAAGUCGAACGGUAACAGGUCUUCGGAUGCUGACGAGUGGCGAACGGGUGAGUAAUACGUCGGAACGUGCCUAGUAGUGGGGGAUAACUACUCGAAAGAGUGGCUAAUACCGCAUGAGAUCUACGGAUGAAAGCAGGGGAUCGCAAGACCUUGUGCUACUAGAGCGGCCGAUGGCAGAUUAGGUAGUUGGUGGGAUAAAAGCUUACCAAGCCGACGAUCUGUAGCUAGUCUGAGAGGACGAUCAGCCACACAGGGACUGAGACACGGCCCAGACUCCUACGGGAGGCAGCAGUGGGGAAUUUUGGACAAUGGGCGCAAGCCUGAUCCAGCAAUGCCGCGUGCAGGAUGAAGGCCUUCGGGUUGUAAACUGCUUUUGUACGGAACGAAAAGCCCCGGGUUAAUACCCUGGGGUCAUGACGGUACCGUAAGAAUAAGCACCGGCUAACUACGUGCCAGCCGCCGCAGUAA
This 498-nucleotide ribosomal RNA is filed under the name uncultured bacterium. Its description in RNAcentral is "partial 16S ribosomal RNA". It matches the Rfam family "Bacterial small subunit ribosomal RNA", at positions 30 to 523 of the family's 1533-position model. The record is from RNAcentral.